AAAAGUUUAGUUAAAAAAUAACAUUAACUUGUCAAGUUAAAAUUACUAUUAUUAGUAACUUUUA
RNAcentral lists this transfer RNA (64 nucleotides) under Clinterocera nigra. RNAcentral's name for it is "tRNA-Asp". Lineage: Eukaryota; Metazoa; Arthropoda; Insecta; Coleoptera; Scarabaeidae. The record is from RNAcentral.